AUUGAACGCUGGCGGCAUGCCUUACACAUGCAAGUCGAACGGUAACAGGUCUUCGGAUGCUGACGAGUGGCGAACGGGUGAGUAAUACAUCGGAACGUGCCCAGACGUGGGGGAUAACGAGGCGAAAGCUUUGCUAAUACCGCAUACGAUCUAAGGAUGAAAGCAGGGGACCGCAAGGCCUUGCGCGUUUGGAGCGGCCGAUGGCAGAUUAGGUAGUUGGUGGGAUAAAAGCUUACCAAGCCGACGAUCUGUAGCUGGUCUGAGAGGACGACCAGCCACACUGGGACUGAGACACGGCCCAGACUCCUACGGGAGGCAGCAGUGGGGAAUUUUGGACAAUGGGCGAAAGCCUGAUCCAGCAAUGCCGCGUGCAGGAUGAAGGCCUUCGGGUUGUAAACUGCUUUUGUACGGAACGAAAAGGCUCUGGCUAAUACCUGGGGCACAUGACGGUACCGUAAGAAUAAGCACCGGCUAACUACGUGCCAGCAGCCGCGGUAAUACGUAGGGUGCGAGCGUUAAUCGGAAUUACUGGGCGUAAAGCGUGCGCAGGCGGUUUCGUAAGACAGAGGUGAAAUCCCCGGGCUCAACCUGGGAGCUGCCUUUGUGACUGCAAAGCUGGAGUGCGGCAGAGGGGGAUGGAAUUCCGCGUGUAGCAGUGAAAUGCGUAGAUAUGCGGAGGAACACCGAUGGCGAAGGCAAUCCCCUGGGCCUGCACUGACGCUCAUGCACGAAAGCGUGGGGAGCAAACAGG
Molecule: ribosomal RNA, 751 nt
Filed under: uncultured Comamonadaceae bacterium
Lineage: Bacteria; Pseudomonadati; Pseudomonadota; Betaproteobacteria; Burkholderiales; Comamonadaceae
Description: bacterial SSU rRNA
Rfam family: Bacterial small subunit ribosomal RNA
Source: RNAcentral